This is a long non-coding RNA of Astatotilapia calliptera (eastern happy), 926 nucleotides long. Lineage: Eukaryota; Metazoa; Chordata; Actinopteri; Cichliformes; Cichlidae. The record is from Ensembl.
GUUUCUACCGCUGACUGUUUCUACUGCUGAUUCUACUGCCGAAGGUUUCUACUGUCGAUUCUACUGCCAAAGGUUUCUACUGUCGAAAGUUUGUACUGCUGCAGGUUUCUGCUGCUGAGUUUUUCUGCUGCUGAGUUUUUCUACUGCUGAGUAUUUCUAGUGCUGACUGUUUCUAGUGCCAAAGGUUUUUACUGCUGAGUAUUUUUACUGCCAAAGGUUUCUACUGCUGAGUGUUUCUGCUGCUGAAGGUUUCUGUUGCUGAAAGUUUUGACUGCUGAGUGUUUCUACUGCCAAAGGUUUCUACUGCCAAGUGUUUCUACUGCUGAGUGUUUUUUUACUGCUGAUUAUUUUUACUGCCGAAGGUUUCUACUGCUGAGUGUUUCUAGUGUCGGGUGUUUCUGCUGCCAAAGGUUUCUACUGCUGAGGUUUUUUUUACUGCUGAGUAUUUUUUACUGCUGAAGGUUUUUACUGCUGUAUGUUUUUUUUUUACUGCUGAGUAUUUUUACUGCCGAAGGUUUCUACUGCUGAGUGUUUCUAUGCUGAGUGUUUCAGCUGCUGAAGGUUUCUACUGCUGAGUGUUUCUACUGGUACGGGGCGAUCGUGGCUCAAGAGUUGGGAGUUCGCCUUGUAAUCGGAAGGUUGCCGGUUCGAGCCCCGGCUUGGACAGUCUCGGUCGUUGUGUCCUUGGGCAAGACACUUCACCCGUUGCCUACUGGUGGUGGUCAGAGGGCCCGGUGGCGCCAGUGUCCGGCAGCCUCGCCUCUGUCAGUGCGCCCCAGGGUGGCUGUGGCUACAAUGUAGCUGCCAUCACCAGUGUGUGAAUGGGUGGAUGACUGGAUAUGUAAAGCGCUUUGGGGUCCUUAGGGACUAGUAAAGCAUUAUAUAAAUACAGACCAUUUAGUGCUGAGGGUUUUUUACUGCUGAAG